This 3259-nucleotide ribosomal RNA is filed under the name Durio zibethinus. Its description in RNAcentral is "eukaryotic LSU rRNA". It matches the Rfam family "Eukaryotic large subunit ribosomal RNA". Lineage: Eukaryota; Viridiplantae; Streptophyta; Magnoliopsida; Malvales; Malvaceae. The record is from RNAcentral.
AACCCAGGUUAAGCGGAUCAUCCAUUGAGUUUUAAGAAUAUCAAUAAUUAAGGAAAAGAAACUUACCAGGAUUCUAAUACUAAUGGUGUGUGAACUGAGAAAUGCUUAGCUUGAGAAUUGAGCACCCUCAACAUCUAAAUUGUAGUCUAAAAAGGUGAUUUUAGUGAUGGACUAAGCCAAGUCCCCUGGAAAAAGACACCAGAAAGGGUGAAAACCCCAUUGUGCCUAGACCCUAUUGAACCAUGAGGCACUAUAUGCAAGUUUGAUUAUUUGGGAAUACAGUCCAGUAGGGUGGUAAAUUUCAUCCAAGGUUGGAUACGAGCAAAAAACUAAUAAUGAACAAGUAUUACGAGGAAAAGAUGAAAAAACUUUGAAGAAAGAGUCAAAGAGUGCUUAAAAUUGUCAGAAGAGGUGGGCUAGUGAUGUGCUCUAGUCAGAUGUAGAAUGACAAGAGCUAAUCUAUCAAUUAGCUUAGGGUGUGGACUGAUGAGGGUAGUGGCACCAACCCAAGCCUAAGCUUUUGAUAUGCUCACAGAGACAUCAUUGCCAUGAUUAUGGAAUGCAGCAUGCACUAUCUUGACAUGCCUUAGCAUCGAUGUGCUCUCGAUGUCAGUCUGCAAGCUCCACAUCUAGCAUGUUUUGAGACAUGAUCCAAAGAGUCUAACAUGUGUGCAAGUCAACGGGCUAGAAAACCCAUAAGGCAUAAGGAAGCUAAUUGGCAAGAUCGAGAUCCCUCACGGGUGCACCGUCAAUCAACCGUGAUCUUCUUAGAAGGGUUCGAGUGUAAGCAUACCUGUCGAGACCCAAAAGACGAUGAACUCUACCUUAAACUAAAGGAAACUCGGGUGAAGGUCCGUAGUGAUACUGAUGUGCAAAUCAUUUGUUUGACUUAGGUAUAGGGGCGAAAGACAAAUCAAACUAUCUAGUAGCUGGUUCCCUCAAAAGUUUCCCUCAGGAUAGCUGGAGCUCUUAUCAAGUUUUAUCGAGUAAAGCCAAUGAUUAAAGGCAUCAAGGGAGCAAUGCCCUCAACCUAUUCUCAAACUUUAAAGAGGUAGGAUGAUUGCUUUAUUCAACUACACCAUGAAAUUGAUAGGUCUAAGUGGGCCAUUUUUGGUAAGUAGACUUAACAAUGCAAGACGAGCUAGAAGCCAAGUUAUGGUGCCAACUGCAUGCUAACCUAGAACCCACAAAAGGUGUUGGUCAAUUAGGAUAGCAAGAUAGUGGUCAAGGAAGUUGAAAUCCAUUAAAGAGUGUGUAACAACUCACUUACAAAAUCAACUAGCCCCGAAAAUGGAUGGCACUUAAGUGCAGACCUAUACUCAGUUGUUAAGGUAAGAGCCAAGCCUUGAUGAGUAAGAAGGCACCACAGUCACCGUAAAACUAGGAGCACGAGCCUGGGUAGAAUGGUUAUCGAUGCAUAUUUUACUGGUAGUAGCAAAUAUUCAAAUGAGAACUUUGGAGGCCGAAUAGGGAAAAGAUUCCAUAUGAACGACCCUUGCACAUGGGUUAGUCAAUCCUAAAAAAUGGGGGAAACCUUUUCGAUAGCACAUUCAACAUGAACUUCAAAAUGGAAUCGAGUUAAAAUUCUUGAACUGGGAUACAAUGGCUGAUGGCAAUAUUAGGGAGUUUGGAGAUGUCGGUGUAAGCCUUAAGAAAAGUUAUUUUUUUGUUUAACGACCUACCUAUGCUAGAAGCAGCUUAGUCAAAGGUAGGGUCUAGUGGACGAAAGAGCACUACACAUCACGUGGUGUCUAAUGGACCCCUGACGACCUUUGUAAAGAAGACUAAGUGCUGUCUACACUUGGUCAUACUCAUAAUUGCAUUAAGUCUUUAAGGUAAACAGCAUCUAGUCAAUGGAACAAUAUGGCAAGGGAAGUUGGCAAAAUAGAUUCGUAACCCAGGGAAAAGAAUUGGCUUUGAAGUUAGGCAUGAGAGUCCCAAUCUUGAACCUAUCGAUUGUUGGUACACUACUCAAGCUAUUCUCACAGUGAGAGUGGGUCAUUGCAUGCUGACCAGGGGAUGAAUAGGGAAUGGCUCCUUCAUAGGCCUUCCCCAAGCGAUGGACAAUCGAUUUAAAACUUGUAUGCAUAAGGGGAAUCUGACUAUUUAAUUAAAACAAAACAUUUUGAUGGUCCCUAUGGAUGAUUACGCAUUAUGAUUUCUACCUAAUUCUUUAAAUGUCAAUAAAAAAAAUUCAGCCAAGUGCAGGUAUGUGGUGAAAGUAACUAUGACUCUUUUAAGGUAGCCAAAUGCCACACCAUCUAAUUAGUGACAUGCACGAAUGUAUUAACGAGAUUUCCACUACCCUAUCUACUAUCCAACGAAACCAUAGCCAAAGGAACAGGCAAGAAUUAGUAGGGAAAGAAGACCUUGUCAAGCUUGACUCUAGUUUUACUUUGUGAAAUGACUUGAAAGGUGUAGGAUAAAUGGGAACCCUUGGCCAAAAUUGAAAUACCACUACUUUUAACAUUAUUUUACUUAUUCCAUGAAUUAGAGGUUGGGCAUGACCUUUUCUUUUGGACCCAAGACUGGCUUCAAUCAAUUGAUCUGGGUGAAAGACAUUGACAAGUGGGGAGUAUGGUUAGGAAAGCACAUCUAUUAAAAGAUAACGCAGGUGUCCUAAGAUGAGCUUAACAAUAACAAAAAUCUCAUGUGGAACAAAAGGGUAAAAGCUUGUUUGAUUUUGAUUUUUAAUACGAAUAUGAACUGUGAAAAUGUAGCCUAUCAAUCCUUUAGACCUUCAAAAUUUAAAGCUAGAGAUGUCAAAAAAUUUACCAUAGGGAUAAUUGGCUUAUGGCAACCAAGCGUUCAUAGCAACAUCACUUUUUGUUUCGUCGAUGUUGGCUCUUUCUAUCAUUAUGAAGUAGAAUUAACCAAGUGUUGGAUUGUUCAACCAUUAAUAGGGAACGUGAACUAGGUUUAGAUCUUCAUAGGAUAGGUUAGUUUUACCCUAUUGAUGGCAGGUCACAUUAGUAAUUUAACCUAGUACGAGAAGAAUUAUUGAUUUGUACAAUUGGUCAUUGCUCUCGGUUAAAAAGCUAAUGGCACAAAACUACCAUGUGCUAGAUUAUGACUGAAUGCCUCUAAGUCAGAAUCCAGGCAAAAAAUGAUGCAUGUGCCCAUCACUCGAUUGUCAACCCAUAGAAAGGGCCUAUUGCCCCUAAGGGCACGUAUUGUAGGUGUAGCCCCUAUUGUGAACAAGUCACAUAGGCCUCCUUGGAGCUCAAUUCCCAUCAAACGAUGGUUAGAAUCCUUUACA